This 70-nucleotide transfer RNA is filed under the name Ictidomys tridecemlineatus (thirteen-lined ground squirrel). Its description in RNAcentral is "Spermophilus tridecemlineatus (thirteen-lined ground squirrel) tRNA". It matches the Rfam family "tRNA". Rfam says of the family: Transfer RNA (tRNA) molecules are approximately 80 nucleotides in length. Their secondary structure includes four short double-helical elements and three loops (D, anti-codon, and T loops). The record is from Rfam by way of RNAcentral. Lineage: Eukaryota; Metazoa; Chordata; Mammalia; Rodentia; Sciuridae.
GGGGCUGUGGCUCAGUGGUAGAGCGCUCACCUAGCCAUGUGUGAGGCACUGGGUUCGAUCCUCAGCACCA